RNAcentral lists this ribosomal RNA (247 nucleotides) under uncultured bacterium. RNAcentral's name for it is "partial 16S ribosomal RNA". It matches the Rfam family "Bacterial small subunit ribosomal RNA", at positions 115 to 353 of the family's 1533-position model. The record is from RNAcentral.
ACAUAAGUAACCUGCCCUAGACAGGGGGAUAACUAUUGGAAACGAUAGCUAAGACCGCAUAGGUACGGACACUGCAUGGUGACCGUAUUAAAAGUGCCUCAAAGCACUGGUAGAGGAUGGACUUAUGGCGCAUUAGCUGGUUGGCGGGGUAACGGCCCACCAAGGCGACGAUGCGUAGCCGACCUGAGAGGGUGACCGGCCACACUGGGACUGAGACACGGCCCAGACUCCUACGGGAGGCAGCAUG